RNAcentral lists this transfer RNA (87 nucleotides) under Calditrichota bacterium. Its description in RNAcentral is "Calditrichaeota bacterium (freshwater sediment metagenome) tRNA-Leu". It matches the Rfam family "tRNA". Rfam says of the family: Transfer RNA (tRNA) molecules are approximately 80 nucleotides in length. The record is from RNAcentral. Lineage: Bacteria; Pseudomonadati; Calditrichota.
GCUGGCGUGGUGGAAUUGGCAGACACGCUGUCUUGAGGGGGCAGUGGGCACGCGCCCGUGGGGGUUCGAGUCCCCCCGCCAGCACCA